Molecule: ribosomal RNA, 468 nt
Filed under: uncultured bacterium
Lineage: Bacteria
Description: partial 16S ribosomal RNA
Rfam family: Bacterial small subunit ribosomal RNA
Source: RNAcentral
GACGAACGCUGGCGGCGUGCUUAACACAUGCCAGUCGAACGGAAAGGCCCUGGUUUUGUGGGGUGCUCGAGUGGCGAACGGGUGAGUAACACGUGAGUAACCUGCCCUUGACUUUGGGAUAACUUCAGGAAACUGGGGCUAAUACCGGAUAGGAGCUCCUGCUGCAUGGUGGGGGUUGGAAAGUUUCGGCGGUUGGGGAUGGACUCGCGGCUUAUCAGCUUGUUGGUGGGGUAGUGGCUUACCAAGGCUUUGACGGGUAGCCGGCCUGGGAGGGUGACCGGCCACAUUGGGACUGAGAUAGGGCCCAGACUCCUACGGGAGGCAGCAGUGGGGAAUAUUGCACAAUGGGCGGAAGCCUGAUGCAGCAACGCCGCGUGCGGGAUGACGGCCUUCGGGUUGUAAACCGCUUUCGCCUGUGACGAAGCGUGAGUGACGGUAAUGGGUAAAGAAGCACCGGCUAACUACGUG